RNAcentral lists this small RNA (116 nucleotides) under Leptospira borgpetersenii serovar Balcanica. RNAcentral describes it as "partial 6S RNA". It matches the Rfam family "6S / SsrS RNA", at positions 76 to 187 of the family's 187-position model. From Rfam's summary of the family: E. coli 6S RNA was the first non coding RNA to be sequenced, but its function was unknown until recently. It consists of 184 nucleotides that fold into an extended hairpin structure with a large single-stranded internal bulge. Lineage: Bacteria; Pseudomonadati; Spirochaetota; Leptospiria; Leptospirales; Leptospiraceae. The record is from RNAcentral.
CGCGGCGCACAUGCCUUCACACGAGGAAGUGCAAACCGUUAGACAGAGCACCCACCUGCUUUAAUUGAUAGCGGGUUCAAAGGAAGGGAAUCCUAAACGGUACGAUUGGGGUUUCU